This 148-nucleotide non-coding RNA is filed under the name Rhizophagus irregularis DAOM 197198w. RNAcentral's name for it is "Eukaryotic large subunit ribosomal RNA". It matches the Rfam family "Eukaryotic large subunit ribosomal RNA", at positions 3255 to 3401 of the family's 3401-position model. Lineage: Eukaryota; Fungi; Glomeromycota; Glomeromycetes; Glomerales; Glomeraceae. The record is from Rfam by way of RNAcentral.
GUGCGGGCCGCCAUGAAGUACAAUUCCCAUCAAGCGGCGGGUAGAAUCCUUUGCAGACGACUUAAAUACGCGACGGGGUAUUGUAAGUGGCAGAGUGGCCUUGCUGCCACGAUCCACUGAGAUUCAGCCCUGCGUCGCUCAGAUUCGU